Molecule: ribosomal RNA, 518 nt
Filed under: Metschnikowia pulcherrima
Lineage: Eukaryota; Fungi; Ascomycota; Pichiomycetes; Serinales; Metschnikowiaceae
Description: eukaryotic LSU rRNA
Rfam family: Eukaryotic large subunit ribosomal RNA
Source: RNAcentral
CCGACUGUAUGCCUCAGUACGGCGAGUGAAGCGGCAAAAGCUCAAAUUUGAAAUCCCCCGGGAAUUGUAAUUUGAAGAGAUUUGGGUCCGGCCGGCGGGGGUUAAGUCCACUGGAAAGUGGCGCCACAGAGGGUGACAGCCCCGUGAACCCCUUCAAAGCCCUCAUCCCAGAUCUCCAAGAGUCGAGUUGUUUGGGAAUGCAGCUCUAAGUGGGUGGUAAAUUCCAUCUAAAGCUAAAUACCGGCGAGAGACCGAUAGCGAACAAGUACAGUGAUGGAAAGAUGAAAAGCACUUUGAAAAGAGAGUGAAAAAGUACGUGAAAUUGUUGAAAGGGAAGGGCUUGCAAGCAGACACUUAACUGGGCCAGCAUCGGGGCGGCGGGGAGCAAAACCACCGGGGAAUGUACCUUUCGAGGAUUAUAACCCCGGUCCUUACUCCCUCGCCAUCCCGAGGCCUGCAAUCUAAGGAUGCUGGCGUAAUGGUUGCAAGUCGCCCGUCUAAAAACCACGGGACCAAUC